Molecule: long non-coding RNA, 1067 nt
Organism: Pseudoliparis swirei
Lineage: Eukaryota; Metazoa; Chordata; Actinopteri; Perciformes; Liparidae
Exons: 4
Source: RefSeq, a predicted model, not a curated record
CGAACAAAAUACGCUCUUGGCACUAACACUCUAUUUCCUUACCUCUGGGAUCCUUAAUCAACAAAUGGAUAUGAGCACUUCUAUGAUGCUGACAGUGGAUCUGGUUAUUUGGCCUGAAGGAUAAAGACAGUCCAGCGCGACACUGCAGUUCUAUCUCGGAGAUGCUCAACCACCUGUACCUAUCAAGCUGGACCAAAGAGCAAGAGACAUUUUUGUUGUCUGGGCAUCACUCCUCAGAUGCGUCUGGCUGGGACAGUGACCUGUCAAGCAUCCUACUGCUGGUUCACCUACUUCCCCCUACUGCAAAAGGACCCAAGAAGAGUCCUAAAAUUAGCUCGCAUCAAGCAAUCAAACUUGUUGUGAGAUAUUUGAGGAUUGGCGCCAGUGUUGAGACCUUCCUUGAGAGUUUGGAACCAGGACAACCCAUCCUCCUGUGUCGGUGAAGAGAAGAACAACAUCCAAAGAUUCUAUGUCAUCGUUGACCACAAGGCCAUCCCUUGCAAGGCUCAGACGUCCCUGGCAGCUUUCGAUGAACUCUUUAAGGCCCACUUCAUCUUCAGUGUUCACUACCACGAAUCCCUUAACAGCUUCUACACAUUCAUCCAAACAACUGUGUUCAACCUUGAUGUGGAAAGUACCAAGGAAAGUCCUCGUGUGAAGGAGCUCAGAGCAAGACUGCUGAACACAAGUAUCUGAGGUGACGCACAUCCUUGGCUGCAAAUAUGUUGAUUUGUUUUAUCUGCAAGUUACACCACAGAAGUUCUAUGUUGCUUUGUAAGCAUUUGAGAUUUUACCAUGGUUUAUAUCCAGGAAAGACAUUACGUUUGAAAUGUGGACAGCCGGAAUGUUCUAUAUUAUUUUGCACUUAUUCAGGGUUCAAGAAACACCUUAUUCGUUUGCACCGGGACACUGUUUCAACAAAUACUGUCACUGUCACUUCAGUGCUUAUUGUAUCAAGGAGAGGGAUGAUUCAUUUUAUGUUGUUUCUAUUGAUGAGUUGAUUGAUUAUAGACCCUAUGAUAAACAGUUAUCUAAUGAGAUGGAUGAAAAAAUAUACAUUGUGCCAU